GCCACGUUUCUCAAAACAGCCAUGACCUUAUCUUCCGGUUAUUCCAAGAAAACAAUCUUAUAUCUCGAUCCAACAUUUUGCCGUGAAGAAACCCAAAUUACAAGUAGAGAUUUUCUGAUUCUUCCUUUGUUUAAAUGAUAUAUGCAUAUAUAUUAUCUUUUUUCCUUGUUAGAUUAACUUGAUCUGCUGCAAAAUUGUUUCAACGAAGCCGAUUGUUUUCCUCUUUCUCCGUUAACAUCUCAUCAUGCUUGGGGAAGUUUCAAUCGCACGUUGCUGAAAGUAGCAACUCAACUCGGAGAAAAAUAUAGACGAGCUUUAACUAACUUUGCCGAAUGGGGAAUGGAGAUAUUGAUGAACGUUUGUUUCAUUUUGCUCUCAAGGCACUGCUGAUCCAAUUGUAUGGUGUUAUUCUUUCUUUAUUUCCACCAAGUCAGAGAUCGAAUAAGGCACCACCGAAUGAUGAUGAAAUCCUUAUUAAUCAUUAAUAGAAAACUAUGGAGCUAUGUACUGGAGACGUGCAUCUGGAAGUUAAAUCAUGUUGUUUUUACAUAAAAAAAAGAUCUUGUUGUUAUAACAUGAAUGAAUUAUGUAACUUUUGUUGAUUGUUGUGGUCAACUUUGUAAAUUGGAUUCAAGUUGAUUUUAAUAAAACUGGUUACAUUUUGUAACGAAAUUUCAUA
Papaver somniferum (opium poppy) is the source of this 679-nucleotide long non-coding RNA. RefSeq lists it as uncharacterized. The record is from RefSeq and is a predicted model, not a curated record. NCBI's taxonomy places the organism in Eukaryota, Viridiplantae, Streptophyta, Magnoliopsida, Ranunculales, Papaveraceae. The transcript is spliced from 2 exons.